Molecule: transfer RNA, 72 nt
Rfam family: tRNA
About the family: Transfer RNA (tRNA) molecules are approximately 80 nucleotides in length. Their secondary structure includes four short double-helical elements and three loops (D, anti-codon, and T loops).
Source: Rfam
UCCCAGUUAGUACAAUGGUUAGUAUAGGGCACUCUCACUGCUCAGAUCAGGGUUCGAUUCCCUGGCCGGGAA